This 494-nucleotide ribosomal RNA is filed under the name uncultured bacterium. Its description in RNAcentral is "partial 16S ribosomal RNA". It matches the Rfam family "Bacterial small subunit ribosomal RNA", at positions 28 to 507 of the family's 1533-position model. The record is from RNAcentral.
GACGAACGCUGGCGGCGUGCUUAACACAUGCAAGUCGAACGGAAAGGCCUGUCCUUCCUUGUGUUGGACGGGUACUCGAGUGGCGAACGGGUGAGUAACACGUGAGUGAUCUGCCCCCAACUUGGGUAUAAGCCUGGGAAACUGGGUCUAAUUCCCGAUAGGACUGCAGGGCGGUGCCUGUGGUGGAAAACGAUUUUCUAGUGGUUGGGGAUGAGCUCGCGGCCUAUCAGCUUGUUGGUGGGGUAAUGGCCUACCAAGGCGGCGACGGGUAGCCGGCCUGAGAGGGUGGACGGCCACAUUGGGACUGAGAUACGGCCCAGACUCCUACGGGAGGCAGCAGUGGGGAAUAUUGCACAAUGGGCGGAAGCCUGAUGCAGCGACGCCGCGUGGGGGAUGACGGCCUUCGGGUUGUAAACUCCUUUCGACCGCGAGGAAGCCGCCUGGUUGGAAGGGUGGUGACGGUAGUGGUAGAAGAAGCACUGGCUAACUACGUG